GAUGAACGCUGACAGAAUGCUUAACACAUGCAAGUCUACUUGAUCCUUCGGGUGAUGGUGGCGGACGGGUGAGUAACGCGUAAAGAACUUGCCCUGCAGUCUGGGACAACAUUUGGAAACGAAUGCUAAUACCGGAUAUUAUGCGAGAUUCGCAUGUUUCUCGUAUGAAAGCUAUAUGCGCUGCAGGAGAGCUUUGCGUCCUAUUAGCUAGUUGGUGAGGUAACGGCUCACCAAGGCGAUGAUAGGUAGCCGGCCUGAGAGGGUGAACGGCCACAAGGGGACUGAGACACGGCCCUUACUCCUACGGGAGGCAGCAGUGGGGAAUAUUGGACAAUGGACCAAAAGUCUGAUCCAGCAAUUCUGUGUGCACGAUGAAGUUUUUCGGAAUGUAAAGUGCUUUCAGUUGGGACGAAGUAAGUGACGGUACCAACAGAAGAAGCGACGGCUAAAUACGUGCCAGCAGCCGCGGUAAUACGUAUGUCGCAAGCGUUAUCCGGAUUUAUUGGGCGUAAAGCGCGUCUAGGCGGUUUGGUAAGUCUGAUGUGAAAAUGCGGGGCUCAACUCCGUAUUGCGUUGGAAACUGUCAAACUAGAGUACUGGAGAGGUGGGCGGAACUACAAGUGUAGAGGUGAAAUUCGUAGAUAUUUGUAGGAAUGCCGAUGGGGAAGCCAGCCCACUGGACAGAUACUGACGCUAAAGCGCGAAAGCGUGGGUAGCAAAUAGGAUUAGAUACCCUGGUAGUCCACGCCGUAAACGAUGAUUACUAGGUGUUGGGGGUCGAACCUCAGCGCCCAAGCUAACGCGAUAAGUAAUCCGCCUGGGGAGUACGUACGCAAGUAUGAAACUCAAAGGAAUUGACGGGGACCCGCACAAGCGGUGGAGCAUGUGGUUUAAUUCGACGCAACGCGAGGAACCUUACCAGCGUUUGACAUCCUAGGAGGUUGGCAGAGAUGCCUUCGUGCCCCUUCGGGGGAACCUAGUGACAGGUGGUGCAUGGCCGUCGUCAGCUCGUGUCGUGAGAUGUUGGGUUAAGUCCCGCAACGAGCGCAACCCCUUUCGUAUGUUGCCAUCAUUAAGUUGGGAACUCAUGCGAUACUACCUGCGAUGAGCAGGAGGAAGGUGGGGACGACGUCAAGUCAUCAUGCCCCUUAUACGCUGGGCUACACACGUGCUACAAUGGGUAGUACAGAGAGUCGCUAACCUGCGAGGGGGAGCUAAUCUCAGAAAACUAUUCUCAGUUCGGAUUGUACUCUGCAACUCGAGUACAUGAAGUUGGAAUCGCUAGUAAUCGCAAAUCAGCUAUGUUGCGGUGAAUACGUUCUCGGGUCU
This 1329-nucleotide ribosomal RNA is filed under the name uncultured bacterium. RNAcentral's name for it is "bacterial SSU rRNA". It matches the Rfam family "Bacterial small subunit ribosomal RNA", at positions 28 to 1381 of the family's 1533-position model. The record is from RNAcentral.